UCGAGAAUAAUUCACAAUGGGGGAAACCCUGAUGGUGCAACGCCGCGUGGAGGAUGAAGGUCUUCGGAUUGUAAACUCCUCUCAUCUGGGAGUAAGACCUGGGCGUGAAUAGCGCACAGGGUUGAUAGUACCAGAAGAGGAAGGGACGGCUAACUUCGUGCCAGCAGCCGCGGUAAUACGAAGGUCCCAAGCGUUGUUCGGAAUCACUGGGCGUAAAGGGUGCGUAGGCGGUUUGGUAAGUCAGAUGUGAAAUCCCGGGGCUCAACCCCGGAACUGCAUCCGAUACUGCCAGACUUGAGGACUGGAGAGGUGACUGGAAUUCUCGGUGUAGCAGUGAAAUGCGUGGAUAUCGAGAGGAACACUCGUGGCGUAAGCGAGUCACUGGACAGUAUCUGACGCUGAGGCACGAAGGCCAGGGUAGCGAAAG
RNAcentral lists this ribosomal RNA (427 nucleotides) under uncultured Luteolibacter sp. RNAcentral describes it as "bacterial SSU rRNA". It matches the Rfam family "Bacterial small subunit ribosomal RNA", at positions 355 to 774 of the family's 1533-position model. Lineage: Bacteria; Pseudomonadati; Verrucomicrobiota; Verrucomicrobiia; Verrucomicrobiales; Verrucomicrobiaceae. The record is from RNAcentral.